UACGGGGGGGGCAAGCGUUGUCCGGAAUUACUGGGUGUAAAGCGCGUGUAGGCGGCAGACCAAGUCGGCGGUGAAAGCGCCCGGCUCAACUGGGCGAGGUCCGUGGAAACUGGUCAGCUGGAGGACGGUAGAGGCGAGUGGAAUUCCCGGUGUAGUGGUGAAAUGCGUAGAGAUCGGGAGGAACACCUGUGGCGAAGGCGGCUCGCUGGGCCGGUCCUGACGCUGAGACGCGAAGGCGUGGGGAGCGAACGGG
Molecule: ribosomal RNA, 253 nt
Filed under: uncultured bacterium
Lineage: Bacteria
Description: partial 16S ribosomal RNA
Rfam family: Bacterial small subunit ribosomal RNA
Source: RNAcentral